AGUGAACGCUGGCGGUAGGCCUAACACAUGCAAGUCGAACGGCGGCACAGUAAGAGCUUGCCCUUACGGGUGGCGAGUGGCGGACGGGUGAGGAAUACAUCGGAAUCUACUUUUUCGUGGGGGAUAACGUAGGGAAACUUACGCUAAUACCGCAUACGACCUACGGGUGAAAGCAGGGGAUCUUCGGACCUUGCGCGAUUGAAUGAGCCGAUGUCGGAUUAGCUAGUUGGCGGGGUAAAGGCCCACCAAGGCGACGAUCCGUAGCUGGUCUGAGAGGAUGAUCAGCCACACGGGAACUGAGAAACGGUCCAGACUCCUACGGGAGGCAGCAGUGGGGAAUAUUGGACGAUGGGCGCAAGCCUGAUCCAGCCAUACCGCGUGGGUGAAGAAGGCCUUCGGGUUGUAAAGCCCUUUUGUUGGGAAAGAAAAGCAGCAGGUUAAUACCCCGCUGUUCUGACGGUACCCAAAGAAUAAGCACCGGCUAACUUCGUG
This 492-nucleotide ribosomal RNA is filed under the name uncultured bacterium. RNAcentral describes it as "partial 16S ribosomal RNA". It matches the Rfam family "Bacterial small subunit ribosomal RNA", at positions 29 to 507 of the family's 1533-position model. The record is from RNAcentral.